UGAAAUUGAUCUCCCCGUGCAGAAGCGGGGAUAAUACCAUAAGACGAGAAGACCCUAUGGAGCUUUAGACGUCAGAGCAGCCCAUGUAAAGCACCCCUUAACAAAGGAAAAAACCAAAUGAAGCCUGCCCUAAUGUCUUUGGUUGGGGCGACCGCGGGGAAAUACAAAACCCCCAUGUGGAGUAGGAAUACACAUUCCUAAACCCAAGAGCUCCCGCUCUAAUGAACAGAAAUUCUGACCAAUAAGAUCCGGCACACGCCGAUCAACGGACCGAGUUACCCUAGGGAUAACAGCGCAAUCCCCUUAAAGAGCCCUUAUCGACAAGGGGGUUUACGACCUCGAUGUUGGAUCAGGACAUCCUAAUGGUGCAGCCGCUAUUAAGGGUUCGUUUGUUCAACGAUUAAAGU
RNAcentral lists this ribosomal RNA (407 nucleotides) under Pagrus major (red seabream). RNAcentral describes it as "partial 16S ribosomal RNA". It matches the Rfam family "Bacterial large subunit ribosomal RNA", at positions 2037 to 2594 of the family's 2925-position model. The record is from RNAcentral. Lineage: Eukaryota; Metazoa; Chordata; Actinopteri; Spariformes; Sparidae.